Molecule: long non-coding RNA, 1610 nt
Filed under: Ricinus communis (castor bean)
Lineage: Eukaryota; Viridiplantae; Streptophyta; Magnoliopsida; Malpighiales; Euphorbiaceae
Description: long non-coding RNA (RCOM_LNC003443)
Source: RNAcentral
CCCAACAUGACUUUUGGAGUGACUCCACCAUGCAACUUAAUAAAAUUAAAGAUUAGCUACUAACCCUAUAAUGAAAUUACUUAGAAAUGAGGUAGAGGUACUAACCUUAGAAAUAUAAAUUGAGAUAGUGAACAUAAUAAGAAAAUUGAAAAGCUAUAUUUAGCUAAAGAAUAAAUAACUUAACUUUUCAAGUAUCACCUUCUAACUAAUCAUCAGUUCUUCAACUUAACUUGUGCCGACGCAAACCUUAUGUUCUUCGAGCUCCAACCUUCAAGCGCGUGCCAUUUUUAACAAAUUAGAGUUUAUAAAUUUUCUAUUUCUAAUUAACAGUCAUCAGACUAUAUUGCAAACAAGUCAAUUCAAAAAUCAAACAAAAAAAAGUAAUAUAACCCAACAUGACUUUUGAAGGAACUCCACCGUGCAACUUAAUAAAAUUAAAAAUUAGCUACUAACCCUAUCAUGGAAUUACUUAAACACGAGGUAGAUGUGCUAACCUCAGAAAUAGAAGUUGAGAUAGUAAAAAAAAUAAGAAAAUUAAAAAGUUAUACUUAGCUCAAGAAUAAAGAACUUAACCUUUCAAGUAUCAGCUUCUAACUGAUCAUCAAUUUUUCAACUUAACUUGUGCCGACCCAAACCUUAUCUUCUUCGAGCUCCAACCUUCAAGCACAAACCAUUUUUAAUAAAUUAGAGUUUAUAAAUUUUCUAUUUAAAAUUAACAACCAUCAAACUAUAUUACAAACAAUUCAAUCCAAACAUCAAAUAAAAAAAGUCAUUCAAACAAAAAAAUUAAAACAACCCAACAAGAAUAUUGAAGUAACUCCGCCAUGCAUCUAAACGCGUGCAUAUUGCAAAGGAGAGAGGAGAAAAAGCAUAUACAUACAUAUAUGUAUAAUAUACUACUCACAGUAAAACGCUUCAAAACUAACCUCCAUCCGUCGCACUUAAUGACUCCGGGUUAUCUAGUCACAAAUAUACAAAUUAGAGUUUAUAAAUUUUCUAUUUCUAAUUAACAAUCAUCAAACUAUGUUUUGUUCACCGUCUCAAUUUCUAUUUUCUAGGUCCGUACUUCUACCUCAACUCUGAAUAAUUUCAUGAUAGGGUUAGUAGCUAAUCUUUAAUUUUAUUAAGUUGCAUGGUGGAGUUACUUCAAAAGUAAUGUUUGGCAGAGAUGAGGUAGAAGUACUCACAUAGAAAUAGAAAUUGAGAUAGUUAACAAAAUAAGAAAAUAAAAAAAAAAAAAAAAGUUAAAUUUAGCUCAAGAAUAGACAACUUAGCUUUUCAAGUAUCAGCUUCUAACUGAUGAUCAGUUCUUCAACAUAACAUGUGCCGAGGCAAACCUCAUGUUCUUCGAGCUCCAAUCUUCAAGCACAUACCAUUUUUAACAAAUUAGAGUUUAUAAAUUUUGUAUUUCUAAUUAACAAUCAUCAAACUAUAUUUUUGUUCACUGUCUCAAUCUCUAUUUCCUAGGUUCGUACCUCUACCUCGUCUCUAAAUAAUUUCAUGAUAGGGUUAGUAGCUAAUCUUUAAUUUUAUUAAGUUGCAUGGUGGAGUUACUUCAAAAGUAAUGUUUGGUAGAGAUGAGGUAGAAGUACUGAUAUAGAAAUAGAAAU